Edhazardia aedis is the source of this 81-nucleotide transfer RNA. It matches the Rfam family "tRNA". Rfam says of the family: Transfer RNA (tRNA) molecules are approximately 80 nucleotides in length. The record is from Rfam. NCBI's taxonomy places the organism in Eukaryota, Fungi, Microsporidia, Culicosporidae.
GUCAGUAUGGCCGAGUGGUUAAGGCGCUAGUCUAGAAAACUAGUGGAUUUAUCCUCGCAGGUUCAAAUCCUGCUGCUGACG